This is a long non-coding RNA of Diachasma alloeum, 960 nucleotides long. RefSeq lists it as uncharacterized. The transcript is spliced from 3 exons. NCBI's taxonomy places the organism in Eukaryota, Metazoa, Arthropoda, Insecta, Hymenoptera, Braconidae. The record is from RefSeq and is a predicted model, not a curated record.
UCCAAAGUUAGCCACUCAUUACCAUAAUUAUUGAUUUUUGACGAAUGCAAUCGAUAGUUCGUCAAUUGUUCUUGAUUGUUCGAGGAUUUUCAGCGUUUGUUCCCCAGCCAAUUAUUUAUAAUUGAUUUUUUAUUUUUUCCUCCCAUGUUUCCUCAAUUUAGCCCCUCCCACGUAAAGAUCUAAUCAUUUUAAAUUGUUCCUUCUGAUGAAUCGUUUGUUCGUCGUUUGUUCCUCCCUAAGACACUGCUGAGCUAUAAUUCGUGAUUUACUAUGCAGAAGUAUUUUUGGAGCGGAGUCCGUUCCGAAGGCUGUUUAAUAAUAAUUAGUUCAUCAUUGAAUAAUAAUAAUGAUAUUGACGACAAUCAUCGAUGAUUACUAUUCAGCCGUGUGACAGUGUUUCCUCUCAAUGAACUCUAUCGAUGGAUAUGUUCAAUUACCGCCCAUUGAACAUUUACAUUAACCUCAAUAUUGUGCAGCAGUAUACUAUAGUAACGAGUGUAACAAUAUUACAUGAAAAAUCACCAAUAGCGAUUAAUGGAAGAAUUAAUUCAUGGGAGAAUAAUGCCCUUAACGUGUGAGAUUCAUUGAUGAAGCAUUAUGACGACUCCAUCGGUUUUCUAGAAGAAAACUCCGGGGAAAAUCAGCAGUGAACGAUGAGGGACAUUCUGCGGACAGAGUGAGGUGGAAAUUAUUAUCUUGUCGGCAUAUUUUUGGUAGAUUCUCUGGAGAUGAAGGUUCUACUUGAGCAGUAGUUUCACUUGGCAUUGGCUCUGACAUCAGACUCCAUCAGAAUUCCCCAGACCUUCAAUGAAAUCUUUAGGCAUAAACAAACCUAGAGAAUUGUCUCUCAUUGUAGACAUUAUUCAACCGCUUUGAUUGAUCCAGAAGCUUACAAAAUGUUUCAGGAUGGACGUUCAACCCUCAGGAUUACUUCGGGUCAUUUCAAUCAAGUAUGGUUUA